UGGAGCACAGCUGUUUCUUUAUCUCAACUGUCUUCUCUUUCUCCCUUCUCCCUCCCUGCAGCUGUCCAUGUUGUUUGUUGUCACCUCCACUGUAGUGUCAGUGCCAGUGUACAGCAGAGGGGGACCUCAUCUCUGAACCAUGCUGGGUUAGGAGGUGGGAGCCAGCACUUUUCUUCCAGCAGAUUCCAUCCAACCUUGACCUCCACCAUCCAGAUCUGCAGGUGCAAGUCGAUUUGGAAUCUUGUAAUGAAGCACACACACAAAAACGCAGAUGGGGGCUCCUCGGAACUUCUUCUCAGGUACGUUUUUCUUUUAAAGGUGCAAAAGAAAGUUAUAAAAAUAAGAAAAACCAAAAGAGAAAAAAAAAAACCACACCCCCCCCCCCCCCCCCCCCCCCCCCCCCCCCCCCCCCCCCCCCCCCCCCCCCCCCCCCCCCCCCCCCCCCCCCCCCCCCCCCCCCCCCCCCCCCCCCCCCCCCCCCCCCC
RNAcentral lists this long non-coding RNA (485 nucleotides) under Ficedula albicollis (Collared flycatcher). Its description in RNAcentral is "lncRNA (ENSFALG00000025675.1)". Lineage: Eukaryota; Metazoa; Chordata; Aves; Passeriformes; Muscicapidae. The record is from RNAcentral.